UUCCCGCCCCGCGCUGGCGGCCCUCGCCCGCUCACCGCCUCCAGGCUGCCGUGACCCACGCCUUUUCCAGCUCUGCAGCGCCCCUCGCUUCAGUUCCCCGCCGAGUCCGCGCCUCCUGGUUGUUCGCAGUCACAAGUCGCGGCCCUGGAAACCCCAGAGCAGUGACCGCCACGGCCUGCCAUCCCCGAGGCCGGUCAUCCGGUGCUGGACGGCUGAAGCAAAGGAGGCAUUCUGAAGGGGAGGCUGGUCCACAGCCUGUCUUGGAUUUGUGGAAUGCUUCUUCAGGGUUCCUGUGGGACCCGCCUCCCCUCCAGCCAAGAGCACCGGACCUGAUGAUCCCUGCAGAAUUCCUGAAGCAGAGACUGGCCCUUCUUCAGGGCCCCUGCUGUGUCCACGAUCCCUCUCUGGGGCCCUCUCUCCUGUGCUCAGGCAGGAGUAGCCAGGCAGUGAGGCCGGCCUGCUGACCGCCUGCACCAGGGUGUCUGGGGUGGUCAGCAUUCCAGAACUCCCUUAAGAGUAGAGAUGUAGCCAAGCUGCUGGGCUGUCGCCUGACCUGGGGCAAGGCCUGUACUACCACCUGCCCUGUGGCCUCUGGGCUGGUCUCCUUUCUCCGGCCUGUGUCUAGGAGGCACCCCCAGAGGCUCCUGCCACCUGGGUGCAGAGAAGGGCAUUUCAGGCUCCCGCCUUCCUUCUUUGCUCUUCCACUUUGGGACCUUUGCUCAGCAAAGAGAAGCCCCGGAGGGUUGGGAAGUUAUGAUCCCUCAUUUAUUCCUUCUAUGAUCAGUCUUUGACCUCCAGGCCAGGAUCUAAGUGAGCCACUGGACCCUGGGGCUUGUUUCUGUGUUCCUGUGCAAGGCCCCCUCCCUAUCUGUACCAGCCAUUUGCAUAAAAAUAGGCCCUACAGUUUUGCCAGAAAAUGCAUUUCCUUAAAGAAUAUUCUUUUUACUAUAAAAACGUCUAUUGAUUGGGUUUCACUUAAGUUUUUGGAAGGGAAGGUGAGACACUUGGAAAGAGUGAUCCAGUCAUUAGAGGUCUGGGUGCAUUUCCUUCCUGCCCUUUUUCUGUGAAGAACUUAGAAAAUGCUUCCCACCUAAUGCUCGAAGCCCCGUCUUCAGGCAGGUGGAGCCCACCCAAGGUAAGAAGAGGCCGUCUGCUCCCUUGGUGGUGAGACGGGGACCGUGGGUGUAGUCAGAGCAGGGUGAGGGCCUCUGGUAGAAGACCCCUACCAAAACUCCAUAUUAAACAAUUAAGCAAAGACAGAGUCACAUUAAUUCUCUAAAGUAAAAUAUCAAACUAGGAUUAUAAGCAUUCUUCAGUGAAGGUUAGUUAAAAGUAAAAAGGCAGGAGUAACAGCCUGGAAUGUUUGAACAUCUCCCAGAAAAGAAAAUACCUCAGUAUAGCCCAUGUAUUGUUUGUAUCAAUUAAAUGAGGCUAUUGUAAAAUUUACUUUAGCCUGCUAAAAAGCCCAGUUUAUCUUUAACUUUACCCAGAUGCUGCUUUUACUACUCCAGCCCCUAAUCAAGGAAUAUAUAACCUGGGCAAUUAAUAUAACAGGCAGGCCCAGCCGUAAACAACAUAAUGAAGGGCAGGAAGGAUUCCAUCUUAAAGAAGUUAAGAAGUAAGAUUCUUAAUUUACUAUUUAACAAACAGACAAUAACUCAGCUCACCCUGAAAGCAACACAAGCAGCCUUGAUUGCUAUGCUCCCAAACCAAGAAACUGCUAUUCUAAGAAAGGAUCAAAGCAGUAAAUUUCUUAUGCAAACUCUGCAAAAUAGUCUGGAAACCCGAUAAGAAACCUAGUGUCUCCUUAAACAUAAACAUUUAGAGACCAUUUGGUGGGUCUGCAUCCCCAGCUCUUUGUCUCUCAACCGCCUAUAAACCCCCUAGACAACGCACCACCCCGGCUCUCCUGUCCCCCCCACCCCCGGGCUCUCCCGAGCCAGGAGGUCUGUCUGUCCUCUCACCGUCUCUCUCAGUAAGUCUUCCUGGCUCUCCUACCUUGACUGCUAAGCUCAUUCUUGACUCCGCAAACGAGAACCCCGGCCUCAGUGGGAGGGCGCUGGCAUGGCCGGGUCCCCAGGGAGCUGCCUCCCUCUGCAAGGUCUGUUAGCCCUCGGUCAGUGCCCACUGCCAUUACAGUGGCCAGCUUGAGCCCUCUGCCCCCCAUACCCAUGCUCGCCUGUCCCAGGCCAAGUCCCUUCAUCCUAUGAAGAGAGUCUGCGCCUCCGCAGGGGCAGGGCAGCGGCGGGCGGCCCCAGCAACAUCCCCGCCGGGAGGCCACUCGGCAGAGGGAGUUCGCUUGCUAUUUAACGGUGCCCCUUGUUCCCAGAGACCGGAAUGUGUUGGUGUCAAGUCCACCAGCAAGGCAGCGAGCGGGUCCUUGUGAGGCUGCAGCGAAAAGAGAAUAGCGCAGCAGCUUAGGGUGGGCGGCGCAGCGGCAGGAAGCAGAGGCGAUCGGGAGCCCAUCAUCCAGCAGGGGCUCUUGUUACAGGGAGCACCACCCGUUGGGAGGCAAGGUGGCCUGGCCCCAGGGGGCGGGAGUCCGGAAACAGGAGGCAGGAGUAACCCUGUGUUACUGGGUGAGUCGGGGUGCUCCAGGGGAACAACCCAUAGACCUGUGGGGACCGUGUACGAGGAAGUUCAGGUCGGGACUGGCCUGUGAUUGUGGAGAGCCCAGGGCAGAAGAUGGUCCUCUCAGCAGGUGGUCUGCCCCCCCCCCCCCCCCCCCGCCUGCUCUCUGAGGGCUGGGCUGGCUGAUUGGCUGAUGCCGCCCACGUUCUCAGGGCGGAUCCUAGGUCUCCUGAGUCAAAUGCUGGUCUUCAGAAAUGGCAACAGUAUCGGGUGAAGCUGUCAGUGUCCGUCGGUGUAAUUCACAUAACGGCCGUGACAUAAGAGGGGGAGGCUGAAAGGAUCUGAAUGGCGGUAAGGCUUCUGCAUUUACUUGAAGUGAUAAAAUACUGGUCAUAAGCAGGUGGUACACAAUUAGGCAUGUAUACUGUAAUCCUCAGAACAACCUCUUAGAAAAAUCAAGGAGGUACACCAAAAGUCAAUAAAUACAUUAAAAUACUAAAAAAUAUUCAGAAACAAUUGGCCCUUGAACAACAUGCGUUUGAACUGUAUGGGUCCACUUAUAUGUGAAGUUUCUACAAUAAAUAUAUUGGAAAACUUAAAAAAAAAA
Manis pentadactyla (Chinese pangolin) is the source of this 3178-nucleotide long non-coding RNA. RefSeq lists it as uncharacterized. The record is from RefSeq and is a predicted model, not a curated record. NCBI's taxonomy places the organism in Eukaryota, Metazoa, Chordata, Mammalia, Pholidota, Manidae. The transcript has 2 exons.